AUUCCGUUGGCUCAAAUUCCAGAAUGCUUCCAGGAUCCAGUCUGUCUUGUCAACUCUCUGCUAAUCUCAUGCCAAGCCACUGACAGCUACUGCCUAGAUUAUUGCAGUCGCUUCCUAGAUGGCCCGGCUACUGUUCUGGCUUCUCUCGAGUCUGCAGUUAUGACGGCAGCUAAAUGAGCAGCUUGACACCUAAGUCAGAACAUGUGCUUUCCUGGCUCAAAAACUUUGCAACGCUUCUCUGUUGGACAUGGGAUAAAAGUCACGGUUCACCCUCUGCUGGCCAAACAGACCCCAUCUGUUCUGCUCCUACUCUCUCCGCUCUCUCCAGACACUCUUUUCUGACUUUAUCUCUUGGACCACUGUUUGGGUUUCUUCCUGUUCCUUCCCAAUGCACAUACUUGCUCAGAGCCUUUUAAAUUAGCUUUGUUUCUGCCUGAAAAGCCCCACCCCCACCCAUCUCUAAGACUCCCAUGGCUCAUCCCUCCCUUGAAGGUUUUUAACUGAGUGUCCCUCUUUCUAUUUCUUUCUAAGUGGCCUCUCUAAAGUUACUUCCAGACCACUCUGCACGAGUUUCCUGAUCUCUCUACUUUAUCACUCGACGUUUACCACUCCUUUCCACUGAAGAGACUCUACGUAUCCAUCUCACUAUUCCUCUCUUGCCAGAAGCUACAUUCCACAGGUUAUGGAUUUCAUCAUUAGUAUUUCAACCACCCCAAAACCUUCGGUGCCUGCAGCCAUACUCGCUGUUUGAUUGGAAGAAUGGGUUCUAACGUCUACAACCCCAUGGGUGGCCUAUUCAGAGAAUUUGUCCAACUUGGGGACCAGUGAGCAGAGUCUGCAGACAUCCUGGCAGCUCCCUGAUGAGGGGGAAGGACAAGAAAGUGUCAUGGACUCCAGGCUGGGGAAGUUCUUGCUACAGAAAAGAAGCUUCACAUGCUGUGUUGACUGAGAGAAUGUUAAAUAGACGAUGAAGUAGACAAGUUGAAUUCUGCCCUCUGGAUCAAGUCAUCUCAGGGGGCCCAAAACUGUCUGAUUGUGGAGUGUGGCAAAGAGCAGAGCUGUCACCCAGUAGCCAGCAUGACUGAGCUUGAAUGGCUGAACACUGCAGUCUGUGUAUUCUGACAUGUUUUACAUGACACUAAAAGGCACAUAGCACAAACCA
Rattus norvegicus (Norway rat) is the source of this 1162-nucleotide long non-coding RNA. RefSeq lists it as uncharacterized. Lineage: Eukaryota; Metazoa; Chordata; Mammalia; Rodentia; Muridae. The record is from RefSeq and is a predicted model, not a curated record.